CAGUCGAGCGGAACGAUCCUAGCUUGCUAUGAGGGGUCAAGCGCCGGACGGGUGAGUAACGCAUAUGAAUCUGCCCGGUUGUGGGGGAUAACCUGGGUGAAACCCAGGCUAAUACCGCAUACAUCCUACGGGGGAAAGCAGGGGAUCUUCUGACCUUGCGCUAUCGGAUGAGCCUAUGUCGGAUUAUCUGGUUGGUGAGGUAAUGGCUCACCAAGGCGACGAUCCGUAGCUGGUCUGAGAGGAUGAUCAGCCACAUCGGGACUGAAACACGGCCCGAACUCCUACGGGAGGCAGCAGUGGGGAAUAUUGGACAAUGGGCGCAAGCCUGAUCCAGCCAUGCCGCGUGUGUGAAGAAGGGCUUCGGGUUGUAAAGCACUUUCAGUGGGGAAGAAAUCCUCGGGCCUAAUACCCUCGAGGGAGGGAAUCUCCCACAGAAAAAGCACCGGCUAACUCCGUGGCCGCAGCCGCGGUAAUACGGAAGGUGCGAGCGUUAAUCCGAAUUACUGGGCGUAAAGCGCGCGUAGGGGGGCUGGGUAAGCCGGUUGUGAAAGCCCCGGGCUCAACCUGG
This 568-nucleotide ribosomal RNA is filed under the name Halomonas shengliensis. Its description in RNAcentral is "bacterial SSU rRNA". It matches the Rfam family "Bacterial small subunit ribosomal RNA", at positions 59 to 617 of the family's 1533-position model. The record is from RNAcentral. Lineage: Bacteria; Pseudomonadati; Pseudomonadota; Gammaproteobacteria; Oceanospirillales; Halomonadaceae.